GUGGGGAAUAUUGGACAAUGGGCGCAAGCCUGAUCCAGCCAUGCCGCGUGUGUGAAGAAGGCCUUCGGGUUGUAAAGCACUUUUGUCCGGGAAGAAAUCUUCCAGGUUAAUACCCUGGGAGGCUGACGGUACCGGAAGAAUAAGCACCGGCUAACUUCGUGCCAGCAGCCGCGGUAAUACGAAGGGUGCAAGCGUUACUCGGAAUUACUGGGCGUAAAGCGUGCGUAGGUGGUUCGUUAAGUCUGCCGUGAAAGCCCCGGGCUCAACCUGGGAAUGGCGGUGGAUACUGGCGGGCUAGAGUGCGGUAGAGGGUGGUGGAAUUCCCGGUGUAGCAGUGAAAUGCGUAGAGAUCGGGAGGAACAUCUGUGGCGAAGGCGGCCACCUGGACCAGCACUGACACUGAGGCACGAAAGCGUGGGGAGCAAACAGGAUUAGAUACCCCAGUAGUCC
RNAcentral lists this ribosomal RNA (450 nucleotides) under uncultured bacterium. RNAcentral describes it as "bacterial SSU rRNA". It matches the Rfam family "Bacterial small subunit ribosomal RNA", at positions 354 to 796 of the family's 1533-position model. The record is from RNAcentral.